This 389-nucleotide ribosomal RNA is filed under the name uncultured bacterium. RNAcentral's name for it is "bacterial SSU rRNA". It matches the Rfam family "Bacterial small subunit ribosomal RNA", at positions 28 to 407 of the family's 1533-position model. The record is from RNAcentral.
GACGAACGCUGGCGGCGUGCCUAACACAUGCAAGUCGAGCGGGAACCUCAGGAGGGGUAACCCACCUGAGGGGAGAGCGGCGAACGGGUGAGUAACACGUGGGCAACCUGCCCCGGACACCGGGAUAACCCAGGGAAACCUGAGCUAAUACCGGAUACUCCGGCGCGAUCGCAUGGUCGCUCCGGGAAAGCUCCGACGGUCCGGGAUGGGCCCGCGGCCUAUCAGCUUGUUGGCGAGGUAACGGCUCACCAAGGCUUCGACGGGUAGCUGGUCUGAGAGGACGGACAGCCACACUGGGACUGAGACACGGCCCAGACUCCUACGGGAGGCAGCAGUGGGGAAUAUUGCGCUAAUGCGCGAAAGCGUGACGCAGCGACGCCGCGUGGGGA